Molecule: ribosomal RNA, 192 nt
Filed under: uncultured bacterium
Lineage: Bacteria
Description: partial 16S ribosomal RNA
Rfam family: Bacterial small subunit ribosomal RNA
Source: RNAcentral
ACUCCUACGGAAGGCAGCAGUGGGGAAUAUUGCGCAAUGGGCGAAAGCCUGACGCAGCGACGCCGCGUGAGUGAAGAAGGCCUUCGGGUUGUAAAGCUCUGUCAGAGGGAAAGAAUACUCCUGGUAACCCCAGUAGUUGACGGUACCCUUGAAGGAAGCACUGGCUAACUCCGUGCCAGCAGCCGCGGUAAU